CUGAAUUCCUGCUCCCAAACAAUGUGUGCUUUGAUGGAUUUCUGCGAGAAGAAGAAGGAAACACGUUGAAGUCCUUGUCCUGGAAGGCCUGAGUCUGGAAAACUGUCUCAGCAAAGCAAGAGCCAGUGGUGAGAUCACUUGGCAUUUUCCUAGUUCUCCUCACCGAUGUCAGAGUGAAUGCAGAAGGGACACACUGCGAAGAGCAGGAAUUCUUCCGUCAUGAUCCACAGUCUCUGUUGGGUUGCAGUAGUCACCGCGAUGCUCAUAAACUGAGAAAAAAUAUAUAUAUGUCUUUUUCACUUUAUUGGCAAAUAUUACAUAAGUAUAUAAAUUUCACUUUUUACAGCUAAAGGCUGCAUAGCCAUAACUUCUGAGCAAUUUAUUAAGGUUGAAUAAAAUUGAUAUAAGGAAUCAUUUUAUAAAAUAAA
This 428-nucleotide long non-coding RNA is filed under the name Homo sapiens (human). RNAcentral describes it as "HSALNT0338583". The record is from RNAcentral. Lineage: Eukaryota; Metazoa; Chordata; Mammalia; Primates; Hominidae.